RNAcentral lists this small RNA (245 nucleotides) under Oryza sativa Japonica Group (Japanese rice). Its description in RNAcentral is "sRNA Os03g0179950". The record is from RNAcentral. Lineage: Eukaryota; Viridiplantae; Streptophyta; Magnoliopsida; Poales; Poaceae.
AUCCUACGCAGCCUUGUCCCUGCCUCUGCUCACCGGCGACGAUCACCUCGCGCCCAUUCAGGGACCAUGUUAGAAAACAACAGUGUUGUGGUGACAGACUUCUCAGAUGAUGAUAGCAAUUGUGAAUGUUCUGUAAAAAAGGAAGAAGAUUGUGAGAGUGUAAGAACGAGAGCAAAAUGGGCUUUUCAGCAUCUAUUCAGUUUGCAAUGUUGAGGUGAAGGCAAUGCCUUACUGAUCUUGCAAUU